GCUGGAGUAGCUCAUUUGGUUAGAGCGUGUGGCUGUUAACCACAACAAGGUCGAAGGUUCAAGUCUUUCCUCUAGCG
Ipomoea nil (Japanese morning glory) is the source of this 77-nucleotide transfer RNA. It matches the Rfam family "tRNA". Rfam says of the family: Transfer RNA (tRNA) molecules are approximately 80 nucleotides in length. The record is from Rfam. NCBI's taxonomy places the organism in Eukaryota, Viridiplantae, Streptophyta, Magnoliopsida, Solanales, Convolvulaceae.